AGAGUUUGAUCCUGGCUCAGGAUGAACGCUGGCGGCGUGCCUAACACAUGCAAGUCGAACGGAGACUUAUUGACAGAACUCCUCGGAGGGAAGAUGAUAAGUCUUAGUGGCGGACGGGUGAGUAAUGCAUGAGCAACUUGCCUUUCAGAGGGGGAUAACACAUCGAAAGGUGUGCUAAUACCGCAUGAAAUGACGGGAUCGCAUGAUCCUGUUAUCAAAGGAGCAAUCCGCUGAAAGAUGGGCUCAUGUCUGAUUAGAUAGUUGGUGAGGUAACGGCUCACCAAGUCGACGAUCAGUAGCCGGACUGAGAGGUUGAACGGCCACAUUGGAACUGAGAGACGGUCCAGACUCCUACGGGAGGCAGCAGUGGGGAAUAUUGGGCAAUGGGCGCAAGCCUGACCCAGCAACGCCGCGUGAAGGAAGAAGGUCUUCGGAUUGUAAACUUUUGUCUGAUGGGACGAUAAUGACGGUACCAUAGGAGGAAGUCACGACUAACUACGUGCCAGCAGUCGCGGU
RNAcentral lists this ribosomal RNA (516 nucleotides) under uncultured Gram-positive bacterium. Its description in RNAcentral is "bacterial SSU rRNA". It matches the Rfam family "Bacterial small subunit ribosomal RNA", at positions 8 to 521 of the family's 1533-position model. The record is from RNAcentral.